ACAAGUAGCAGCAGCGCCCCAAAUCGAGGGAGGGAGGAUCCUCUCAGGUGAUAUUUUAUCUCUCAAAUGUGAUGUCCCAUCUCUUGGUUAGUUGCUUUGUUUGGAUGAUUUCUGGCCUUGAUGUGUGCUGCGAUUUACGAGUAUUUGGUAGUAUGAACUGUAGAAUAGGGAAUAGAUCUGGGGUGAUGGGUUUAACAACCACAGGAGAUAGAUGAUGCCUUUGUGCAGUACUAGGAAUCAAAAGGAUCUGGGUGGGAAUGGUGACGAGGCAACACAACAAUUUCAUGUGUUCGUUAUAACUUUAAAUAGUCUAAACACCAUUUUUUAUGAACUACGAUGGAUCAUAAAGCUACUAACAUUAUAACAAUUGGCUUUAUCUCAUAAAAAAAUUGCAGUCAACUAACAAAUGGAUGGUAAGACCAGGAGAAUAUAACUGAAGAAAUCUAUAGCAUUUUAACUGAAGGACAAACUGACUUAUCUUCAGUUAAGUGGCAUAUUAACUUUUCAUCAGUGAGGUACAACAUUCUCUACAUACGGUGCUUUUUUCUUGAGUAUACCAGUUCAAUAAUGAACAAUUAAUUCACUAUAUGAAUUGAUUUCAGUUUUGUACAUGUCUGCAUCAUACUUAAUGUUAAUUCCCUAUUAAAUUAGCAAGAUUUAGGAAGUCAUUUUUUUGCAGGUCAAAAAAGCAAGAUUUAGAUGAUAUUUCGCAACAAUGUCAAUGUUAGAUUCUGAUUCACCAACAGUGCUCUUUAGGUUACAAAGGAUUUGAAUUGAGCGAUUCAACUCUGCCUUCAUCAGUACAAACAAUUCAUAAAAGAGGUUCAGUCUCUUCUUUAUUAUCUAUGUGCAUUAAUACUAUGUAUGAUACUAACUGAGUACAGUUGCCUGCAGUAUGCAUUGCUCUACUUUGGAUCCUUUUUCUUACUUUAUACUUCCUUUGCUCUCUGUUGUGUUUGCAGAUGAAUUGGACUAAUCUACUCAGCAUCUCAUGACUUUAGAAGCACGAGUUCAUGAAAACUGAUAUCCACUAGGAUUGCUCUGCUCCUGUUGACAUGCGAGAGCUGUUUGAAGCGAACUGGAUGGUUGUCACCACUGAUUAAGCUGCCGAGCCCAAGAAUUGUGUCAGACUAUUGGCCAAGCUGUUCAAUUUCUCAACACCGUUCAGUUUUGUCAUUGGCCGCCCUUGCGUACACUCAACAGAGAAGGGUAUCUAUGCUCAAUUUCCUACUCUAGAUAACAUCUACUCAUAUAAUUGAUCUCUAAUAUCCUGUACAAAACGUUAGUGGUGGCUCGACAAUUUAAUAAGCCAGAUUUGUGGGAAGUGGAAUGCAUGUGUAACCAAACUGGGCUGGACCAAUCUUGAGGUUUUCCACGAAUUCUUUUAAAAAUGGUUCUUAAGCAAGGCACUGGGAAAUCGUGGAUAGCUGAUAUAUCCAGCAGGUAUGUGCACAUUCUGCUAUAAUCUAGAGUAGGGAGUGCUCAGCAUAAAUUGUGAGAUCUGAGCUGGUACAUAAAAUAAACCAAGAUAGUCUUGUCUUACGUGCGGAUGAUUUUAU
This 1559-nucleotide long non-coding RNA is filed under the name Hordeum vulgare. RNAcentral describes it as "long non-coding RNA (HVUL_LNC021166)". The record is from RNAcentral. Lineage: Eukaryota; Viridiplantae; Streptophyta; Magnoliopsida; Poales; Poaceae.